CUCAGGAUGAGCGCUGGCGGUAUGCUUUAUACAUGCAAGUCGUACGAGAGUUUUUAACUCAAGUGGCGGACGGGUGAGUAACACGUAAGAAUUUGCCUUUAGGAGGGGGAUAACAACUGGAAACGGUUGCUAAUACCCCAUAUGCUUUCGAGUGAAAUGGAUUUCCGCCUAAAGAGAAGCUUGCGUCUGAUUAGCUUGUUGGUAAGGUAAUGGCUUACCAAGGCGACGAUCAGUAUCUGGUUUGAGAGGAUGAUCAGACACGCUGGAACUGAGACACGGUCCAGACUCCUACGGGAGGCAGCAGUAGGGAAUUUUCCGCAAUGGGCGAAAGCCUGACGGAGCAAUACCGCGUGAGGGAUGACUGCCUAUGGGUUGUAAACCUCUUUUUUCAGGGAGGAACAAAAUGACGUGUACCUGAAGAAUAAGCCCCGGCUAACUUCGUGCCAGCAGCCGCGGUAAUACGAGGGGGGCAAGCGUUGUUCGGAAUUAUUGGGCGUAAAGGGUGCGUAGGCGGUUUGGUAAGUCUUAUGUGAAAUCUAUGGGCUCAACUCAUAGACUGCAUGAGAAACUGCCGGGCUUGAGUAUGGGAGAGGUGAGUGGAAUUCCUGGUGUAGCGGUGAAAUGCGUAGAUAUCAGGAGGAACACCUGUGGCGAAAGCGGCUCACUGGACCAUAACUGACGCUGAUGCACGAAAGCUAGGGGAGCAAACAGGAUUAGAUACCCUGGUAGUCCUAGCCCUAAACG
This 744-nucleotide ribosomal RNA is filed under the name uncultured bacterium. RNAcentral's name for it is "bacterial SSU rRNA". It matches the Rfam family "Bacterial small subunit ribosomal RNA", at positions 23 to 808 of the family's 1533-position model. The record is from RNAcentral.